This 57-nucleotide transfer RNA is filed under the name Bos taurus (domestic cattle). It matches the Rfam family "tRNA", at positions 8 to 63 of the family's 71-position model. Rfam says of the family: Transfer RNA (tRNA) molecules are approximately 80 nucleotides in length. Their secondary structure includes four short double-helical elements and three loops (D, anti-codon, and T loops). The record is from Rfam by way of RNAcentral. Lineage: Eukaryota; Metazoa; Chordata; Mammalia; Artiodactyla; Bovidae. RNAcentral also lists the same sequence under 2 other names.
UGGCUCAGAUGGUAAAGCGUCUGCCUGCAAUGCGGGGGACCCAGGUUUGAUUCCUGG